CCCCCAGAUUUCUUCUUCUUGAAGCUCUUCUUUCCUGAACGACGUCCACCCACUGCCACCUUUCCUGAACGACAUCUCCGGCCUGCACAAAUCAUAAUCUUCUUCUUCUUCUUCCUAGGAAAUAUCAAAAACCCUGAUACAGAUAACUCUCUACUGCAGAUCGGUCAGAAGAUACUCCAAAGAUGUUCAGCUUUUAAUGUUCAACUCUGUUUGUGAUUAUCUUUAACCUUUUGCAGAGAGUUUAAUUUGUUGAUGGUGGCCUGGGAUUAUCUUAUCUGAUCUGAUCUUAUGGAGGCGCAGAGA
Molecule: long non-coding RNA, 303 nt
Organism: Ipomoea nil (Japanese morning glory)
Lineage: Eukaryota; Viridiplantae; Streptophyta; Magnoliopsida; Solanales; Convolvulaceae
Exons: 2
Source: RefSeq, a predicted model, not a curated record